RNAcentral lists this ribosomal RNA (430 nucleotides) under Bacteroidota bacterium. RNAcentral describes it as "Bacteroidetes bacterium partial 16S ribosomal RNA". It matches the Rfam family "Bacterial small subunit ribosomal RNA", at positions 355 to 776 of the family's 1533-position model. Lineage: Bacteria; Pseudomonadati; Bacteroidota. The record is from RNAcentral.
UAGGGAAUCUUCGGCAAUGGGGGGAACCCUGACCGAGCAACGCCGCGUGAGUGAAGAAGGUUUUCGGAUCGUAAAGCUCUGUUGUUAAGGAAGAACGAGUGUGAGAAUGGAAAGUUCAUACUGUGACGGUACUUAACCAGAAAGGGACGGCUAACUACGUGCCAGCAGCCGCGGUAAUACGUAGGUCCCGAGCGUUGUCCGGAUUUAUUGGGCGUAAAGCGAGCGCAGGCGGUCAAUUAAGUCUGAUGUGAAAGCCCCCGGCUCAACCGGGGAGGGUCAUUGGAAACUGGUUGACUUGAGUGCAGAAGAGGAGAGUGGAAUUCCAUGUGUAGCGGUGAAAUGCGUAGAUAUAUGGAGGAACACCAGUGGCGAAGGCGACUCUCUGGUCUGUAACUGACGCUGAGGCUCGAAAGCGUGGGUAGCAAACAGG